This is a long non-coding RNA of Limulus polyphemus (Atlantic horseshoe crab), 729 nucleotides long. RefSeq lists it as uncharacterized. Lineage: Eukaryota; Metazoa; Arthropoda; Merostomata; Xiphosura; Limulidae. The transcript has 3 exons. The record is from RefSeq and is a predicted model, not a curated record.
AGCACGUGAUCAGAGGAAACUAGUACUGUGACUAAACUGAUGAGUUAGUAGCUAACAGUUCAACGGUCUAUAAGACUUCCUCACUUCGAAGUUUUAUUAGCGUUCACGUAUUCAGAAAAAAUAAAAUAAAAAUUAAAAAGAAAAUCGCCUACGCUGGUUUUUAGCUUGGUGGUUACACGUUUAAAACUAAAGACAAAUACAUGUUCAACGUAGUACUGAGGUCAAAAUUACAAGGUCAAGGAUAUGCAGCUUGGACCCAUGCCAGAUGUGUAUAUUAAACACAAGAAACUCGAGAACUAAUUGCAGUUCCCCUUCCCGUCCCUCUAACUAUCUCAGAAUAAUGUCAUUCAAUCUCCUAGAUUGUAACUGGAGAUUCCAACAAGGAAACUAGUUAGGCCCAGUCUGAAGUGCCCUGAUUGCUUGUGGUAACUACUUCUUUGCGGUAUGUUUCAGAUAUGAUGAAGAACUCUGCAAAGAAAUGUCAUCUGUAAAACUUGAUGGAAGACAGGUGCAGCCCACAUGGAACUAUUCAACAUGUCAACACAGUGCCCAAAACAUUCUUUAAAAGUAGGGAUGCAACAGACAUUUGAUCAAGCAGGUGUCAUACAUAUAGUAGUCCUUGACAGAGAUGGACAGCAAAACAUAAUUUUUCUGUAAAGCUAAACCCUGCCUCAACUUUUAAAAAUGUCACAGGUACUCUUGGAGUGAAUAAAAAUAUAUAAAAACUCA